AUGGAGCUGGAGCUGGGGCUUGCGCCGCCCAACCACGCGGGCUCGUGCGGGAAGAGGGGCGUGGCGGAGGCGUUCGGAAUCAAGAAACCCACGCUGCCACUCUUCCUGGGCGACGACGACGACGACGGUGGCCACGGCCACGGCGAAGACGGCACUGGCGACACUCGCGACUGGGAGAUGGGCAGCAAGAGGAGGAGGCUUGUGGGGUGGCCGCCGGUGAAGAUCGGGCACCGUCCGCGCAGCAACGGCCACGUGAAGGUGAAGAUGGAAGGGGUGCCCAUCGGGAGGAAGGUGGACCUGUCCCGCCACGCCUCCUACCACCAGCUCCACCACACGCUCCGCCUCAUGUUCCCAUCCUCCACUUCUCACCAUGGCGAUCCAUACGCCGUCACCUACGAGGACGGGGAUGGGGACUGGAUGCUCGUCGGAGACGUGCCGUGGGAGGAGUUUAGCAAGUCGGCUAGACGGCUCAACAUACUCAUGUCACCACCGACGACUACACUUGGCACUGCUGGUUGA
Molecule: ribosomal RNA, 519 nt
Filed under: Triticum aestivum (bread wheat)
Lineage: Eukaryota; Viridiplantae; Streptophyta; Magnoliopsida; Poales; Poaceae
Description: partial small subunit ribosomal RNA
Source: RNAcentral